RNAcentral lists this ribosomal RNA (255 nucleotides) under uncultured bacterium. Its description in RNAcentral is "partial 16S ribosomal RNA". It matches the Rfam family "Bacterial small subunit ribosomal RNA", at positions 524 to 776 of the family's 1533-position model. The record is from RNAcentral.
UACGUAGGUGCGAGCGUUGUCCGGAAUUAUUGGGCGUAAAGAGCUUGUAGGCGGUUUGUCGCGUCUGACUGUGAAAUUCCAGGCUUAACCCUGGGCUUGCAGUGGGUACGGGGCAGACUAGAGUGUGGGUAGGGGAGACUGGAAUUCCUGGUGUAGCGGUGAAAUGCGCAGAUAUCAGGAGGAACACCGAUGGCGAAGGCAGGUCUCUGGGCCACUACUGACGCUGAGAAGCGAAAGCAUGGGGGAGCGAACAGG